UCAAGGGUCUGCAAUAAAAUUAAUUAUCCAAAAAAUAAUCAAUACCACAUUAAUGAAUUUUGAUGUGUUUUAUGUUGCUUGGACCUUUGCUUCUAACAUGCUGAAAGUACCAUACAGAUCAGUGAUAAUGUGCUAUCUCAACAAUAAUUUUCAUAAAUUAACAGAAAGGUGCUUAUAGUUUAGCUAACAGGAAACAGGGGGAGGUUAUGAAAAAAGAAAUGGCUAUAAAAGGGUAUAAAAACACUUGCCAUUAUUCAGUUUCACUGCAUAAGUUUUAAUGUGCUGAAAAAGUAAUAUAAAGUCCAGAGAUGAGAGAUGUGAAAUGUAGCACAAUCUAGACCUUAAAGAAAGUACUUAGAGAAAAAACUACUGUAUAGCCAAAGAAAAUAUUUUUCUGAUCACUUUUUCUUCCUAAUUUGUUUAUUAACCUAGCCUACAAACUGUGUAAGCUUCAAACUUUAAAGCAUCUAUAUAAUUAAUACUUCAUGUUCCAAUAUCUGAUUAUCCUUUAAUUUAUAUUACAUCACUGAAAGUGUGCAUUAAAGUAACAGUAGUAUAAAGUUUUUAUACUAUCUUAAUUGUACUUGCAACAUUUUUUGGUUAAAUGUUUCAGCUUCACUGUGCCAAAUUAAAGCACUCAUGUAAAUCAACAGUAACUUCUGACACAUCUCAGGUCUCCUCAGCUCUACAAGAUACACUCCCCAACAAGAGAAAACACCUUUCUGCUUUAAGAUCACUACUGCAAUGACAUUCUGCCUUUCAAGGAAAAAUACCUAUCCAUUCUAUUACAUAGAACUUUCAUCUACAAAACUGUAAUUGCAACUAAACAAGCCUUCACUUUUUGUUCAGACAGCAAGUCAUUCCCACAAAGUGCCACAGUACUACACGUGGCAUUGGAAGGCUAAGCAAUUAAAUUCUAGUUCAGGUUUCCACUCAUAUUCACAACAGGAUGGCCAGAUACUAAAUGUCCAGUAAGAAAUUCAGGAAUAGCCAGGAUAAAGGCAUUUCCUGGUGAAAGAUGGAAGCCAGAUUAAGUUUCAGCUGGCCCCUUCUACUGCUUAUCUAGCAGUACUUUAUUUAAAAUUUAUCACCCAUGACCUUAAGAGCCAAUAGUACAGCUGAAAAAAAUGGAUCAAGAAAUACAUUUGAUUAUUGGAGUACACAAAAUAUUAUCAGUUUAUCUCGCACACCUCUGUUACUCAUAAAAUUUAUUAUGUAAAAAUUUUCUUAACCAUUUUUCUUUUCUUACCUCUCAAAUUACUUACUCUCAGGAGAAUUCUAUGCAAUCAGUUGUUGAUUCUUAACCAAAAGCAACAAAUCUAAUUGACUGCAAUGCUUAAGAGUUUUUAAAGGCUCCUUGAAUUUUGAUACUUGCAAUAUAAUGCAAUAAAGUUAUGUUUCAUUUUAGAUGA
This is a long non-coding RNA of Oxyura jamaicensis (ruddy duck), 1412 nucleotides long. RefSeq lists it as uncharacterized. The transcript is spliced from 3 exons. Lineage: Eukaryota; Metazoa; Chordata; Aves; Anseriformes; Anatidae. The record is from RefSeq and is a predicted model, not a curated record.